This 468-nucleotide ribosomal RNA is filed under the name uncultured bacterium. RNAcentral's name for it is "partial 16S ribosomal RNA". It matches the Rfam family "Bacterial small subunit ribosomal RNA", at positions 28 to 507 of the family's 1533-position model. The record is from RNAcentral.
GACGAACGCUGGCGGCGUGCUUAACACAUGCAAGUCGAACGGAAAGGCCCUGCUUUUGUGGGGUGCUCGAGUGGCGAACGGGUGAGUAACAAGUGAGUAACCUGCUCUUGACUUUGGGAUAACUUCAGGAAACUGGGGCUAAUACCGGAUAGGAGCUCCUGCUGCAUGGUGGGGGUUGGAAAGUUUCGGCGGUUGGGGAUGGAUUCGCGGCUUAUCAGCUUGUUGGUGGGGUAGUGGCUUACCAAGGCUUUGGCGGGUAGCCGGCCUGAGAGGGUGACCGGCCACAUUAGGACUAAGGUACGGCCCAGACUCCUACGGGAGGCAGCAGUGGGGAAUAUUGCACAAUGGGCGGAAGCCUGAUGCAGCGACGCCGCGUGCGGGAUGACGGCCUUCGGGUUGUGAACCGCUUUCGCCUGUGACGAAGCGUGAGUGACGGUAAUGGGUAAAGAAGCACCGGCUAACUACGUG